UACGAAGGGGGCUAGCGUUGUUCGGAAUCACUGGGCGUAAAGCGCACGUAGGCGGAUUGCUAAGUCAGGGGUGAAAUCCUGGAGCUCAACUCCAGAACUGCCUUUGAUACUGCUGAUCUCGAGUCCGGAAGAGGUGAGUGGAAUUCCUAGUGUAGAGGUGAAAUUCGUAGAUAUUAGGAAGAACACCAGUGGCGAAGGCGGCUCACUGGUCCGGUACUGACGCUGAGGUGCGAAAGCGUGGGGAGCAAACAGG
Molecule: ribosomal RNA, 253 nt
Filed under: uncultured bacterium
Lineage: Bacteria
Description: partial 16S ribosomal RNA
Rfam family: Bacterial small subunit ribosomal RNA
Source: RNAcentral